This 68-nucleotide non-coding RNA is filed under the name pig gut metagenome. RNAcentral describes it as "Glycine riboswitch". It matches the Rfam family "Glycine riboswitch aptamer", at positions 7 to 88 of the family's 94-position model. Rfam says of the family: This family represents the bacterial glycine riboswitch. Glycine riboswitches usually consist of two metabolite-binding aptamers domains with similar structures in tandem. The record is from RNAcentral.
GGCUCGGGAGAGACCGCCUAUACGGAGCCGAAGGGGCCGCAAAAACUCUCAGGCAAAAGGACCGGGUC